Small nuclear RNA from Phasianus colchicus (ring-necked pheasant), 103 nucleotides. The record is from Ensembl. NCBI's taxonomy places the organism in Eukaryota, Metazoa, Chordata, Aves, Galliformes, Phasianidae.
UUGCUUUGGCAGCAUGUGUACUAAAAUUGGAACAAUACAGAGAAGAUUAGCAUGCCCCUUGUGCAGGAAUAACAUGCAAAUCUGUGAUGCAUUCCAUAUUUUU